GUAAUCUUAUGAUAAUAGAUAAGUUGAAAGUAGCUAGAGAAAAACAGAAAUGUAGAGAUAUGGUGCUUCGUAAGCAAAAUGUUGGUUCUUCUAUAUUAUCAUUUUCAUUUGAUGGGAGAAAAAAUGACUCUUUCAUACAACAACAAAUUAAUGAAAAAUUUCAUCAAAAUAUAGUAAAAGAGCAUCAUUUAGUUGUUACAAAGGAGCCUAAUACCACAUUACUUGGAUAUGUAAAGUUGAAUGGUGAUAAUGCAGAAACUCAACAAAAAACUUUAAAUGAAUUUUUUGUUAAUAAAGAUAUAUCACUAGAUUCAUUAAUUGGCAUUUGUUGCGAUGGCGAAGUUGCCAAUACUGGAACAGAAAAUGGUGUUUUACGUUGAUUUGAAUUGCAAUUAGGAAGACCAUUGCAUUGGUUUAUAUGUCUACUACAUUUUAAUGAACUUCCAUUAUGUCACUUAUACGAAGCAUUGGAGAAAUCAGCUACAUCUGGACCUCGUACAUCAACUGGAGAGUUAGCCCAAAAGAUUGUAGAAUGUCACAAAUUGCAGGUUGUAAGUGACUUUCAAUCGAUUCCAUUGAAGAAUAUGCCUCCGCUUUUGGAAGAUCAACAUCAUAAAGAUUUAUCUACAGACGUUCAAUAUUUAUACAAGAUAGGUCAAGCAAUUUCCAAUGGCAUCUGCCCAAUGGAUUUGGCUAAUAUUAAACCAGGAACAAUAUCACAUGCCCGCUGGUUAACUAAGGCUAGCAGAAUAUUAAGAUUAUAUGUGACUAAUCUGUCGAAAAAUUUUAAAGUUCUAGCAGUUUAUAUAAUGACUGUUUAUAUUCCAAUGUAUUUUAACAUUAAAUAUUAUAGUUCUGUAGUAUAUGGUAGUCAACUUUUAUCGCAAUUUAUUCAAUGGACAUAAUAUUUAUCCCCAAAUUUACGUAAUAUUAUAACUAAAUGACAAUAACUUGUAGUAGUCAACUUUUAUCGCAAUUUAUUCAAUGGACAAAAUAUAUAUCCCCAAAUUUACGUAAUAUUAUAAUUAAUUGACAAUAACUUAUAUUACGCAAACCCAGAAAAUGUGUUAUUGAGUAUGCUAUUUGAUACGAGAAAAGACAUACGCAACAGGGCUAUAGAAAAAAUUCUAAAUUUUUGGGAUAAUUUAGAUGAUACUAGUAAAAUUAGAAAAUACUAAAAACCGAAGAUUAAUUACGAGUGUACCGAUUACACCAAUAUGAUCGAUUUGAAUGAUAACCGAUAUGGUAACUUUAAAGACCUUUUACAAUUUGAUGAUAUGCCACUGAUGGAUCCUCAAAUUCCAUUGCAUAUUCAAGGAACAAAGAGAUACAUUCAAUUGCUAACUACUGUUUCGCGACGUGUCACUCACAAUAAAUCGAGAAAGGGUUAUGGUGGUAACUGUAGAGAGCAGAAAAAGUACUCCUCGCUUGGAGAGCAAAAUAGACUUCAAAAAGAAAUUAUAGUUUUAUACCCUUAUUAUUUAUUACGGGAUUGUUUUGAGUCUAAAAAAUUGUUGUAAAAACGGAUUUUAAGUUUAUUAUUGAUUUUUGAAUGUCAAGAAUUAUUUGUGAUUUUAGAAUAUAUUUCGUGUUAGA
This is a non-coding RNA of Hydra vulgaris (swiftwater hydra), 1596 nucleotides long. Lineage: Eukaryota; Metazoa; Cnidaria; Hydrozoa; Anthoathecata; Hydridae. The record is from RefSeq and is a predicted model, not a curated record.